This is a long non-coding RNA of Camarhynchus parvulus, 285 nucleotides long. RefSeq lists it as uncharacterized. The record is from RefSeq and is a predicted model, not a curated record. The transcript is spliced from 4 exons. Lineage: Eukaryota; Metazoa; Chordata; Aves; Passeriformes; Thraupidae.
GGGCCAGCCCGGCAGCUCCGGCCUCAAGGGCGAGAGCGGCGACUUCGGGCCCCAGGGCCCCAGGGGACCCCCAGGGCUGAUGGGACCCCCAGGAAAACCCGGCCUGAGGGGCCGCCCAGGAGCCGACGGCGCCCGGGGGCUCCCGGGGCUCCCCGGCCUCAAGGGCGAUCGAGGCUUCGAUGGACUCCCGGGGCUGCUGGGGGAUAAAGGGCACCGGGUGAGACCCCUCCCCAAAAAAACCAAAAAAUCCCCAAAUUUUGGGGUUUUUAAACCAACCCAGGACCC